This 500-nucleotide ribosomal RNA is filed under the name Bacillaceae bacterium CL7.31. RNAcentral's name for it is "bacterial SSU rRNA". It matches the Rfam family "Bacterial small subunit ribosomal RNA", at positions 17 to 500 of the family's 1533-position model. The record is from RNAcentral. Lineage: Bacteria; Bacillati; Bacillota; Bacilli; Caryophanales; Bacillaceae.
CCCUGGCUCAGGACGAACGCUGGCGGCGUGCCUAAUACAUGCAAGUCGAGCGAACCAAUAGGAGCUUGCUCCUGUUGGUUAGCGGCGGACGGGUGAGUAACACGUGGGCAACCUGCCUGUAAGACUGGGAUAACACCGGGAAACCGGUGCUAAUACCGGAUAAUCCUUUUCCUCUCAUGAGGAAAAGCUGAAAGUCGGUUUCGGCUGACACUUACAGAUGGGCCCGCGGCGCAUUAGCUAGUUGGUGAGGUAACGGCUCACCAAGGCGACGAUGCGUAGCCGACCUGAGAGGGUGAUCGGCCACACUGGGACUGAGACACGGCCCAGACUCCUACGGGAGGCAGCAGUAGGGAAUCUUCCACAAUGGACGAAAGUCUGAUGGAGCAACGCCGCGUGAGCGAUGAAGGCCUUCGGGUCGUAAAGCUCUGUUGUUAGGGAAGAACAAGUACCGGAGUAACUGCCGGUACCUUGACGGUACCUAACCAGAAAGCCACGGCUAA